UACGAAGGGGGCUAGCGUUGCUCGGAAUCACUGGGCGUAAAGGGUGCGUAGGCGGGUCUUUAAGUCAGGGGUGAAAUCCUGGAGCUCAACUCCAGAACUGCCUUUGAUACUGAAGAUCUUGAGUUCGGGAGAGGUGAGUGGAACUGCGAGUGUAGAGGUGAAAUUCGUAGAUAUGCGCAAGAACACCAGUGGCGAAGGCGGCUCACUGGCCCGAUACUGACGCUGAGGCACGAAAGCGUGGGGAGCAAACAGG
RNAcentral lists this ribosomal RNA (253 nucleotides) under uncultured bacterium. Its description in RNAcentral is "partial 16S ribosomal RNA". It matches the Rfam family "Bacterial small subunit ribosomal RNA", at positions 524 to 776 of the family's 1533-position model. The record is from RNAcentral.